AUUGUACAUGUAUGCAUGUAAUAGAGAAAUUUGAAAGUUCUUUACUCAAAUUUCCCUUUGUACUAUAAUACUACAAAAUGUUUUGUUCAAUUUUUGAGCAAAUUUAAAAUUAUUAAAAAAUCCAAAUUCUAUCUGAAUUGGCUCAGAUUUUCUUUGCAACAUAAAUACAUGUAUAUGCAUCAGGAAACCUAAUAAAAUUGAAGAAUUUUCUCCUUGUCAUUUUUGAUUCAAUUUGAUCAGUGUCCCUGUAUAUAGUACAGGGUGUUCGGCUCAAAUUUUGAGCAACUUGACGAUCCAUUAAUUGACAAGAAGCUGUAUCAGCACUAUGCCAAAUCUUGUGAGGAACCCUGACUCUAAGUAUUUGCAAUGCUAUAUAGGUUUAUAAUAAACAGUUCUUCUCUUUCCCAAUGCAUGUUUGUUUUGUUAAUAGGUACUGCAUAUUUCUGUCUCCUCAUGUUUGCGUUCCUUGCCUCCUGUCCUUGUGCAUCUUUGUCUCCUCACUCUCCUCCUCACACAGACAUACGCAUAUGUCUAACUUUUGCUCUUUCUUGUUCCUUUGCUAGGUCUCUCACAUGUCUUCUCUCUUUCUUGUGUUAACACAGUUUUAGUAUCAUACAUUGGUAUAUCACAGACAUUGUCAUUUGCUGCAGUGUGGGAACAGGAAUGUAAUAAAUGCUAAGCAAAUUGUAACAGUGGGACACAAUGUACAAUAUAGUGCUCUUGUGUACAGUGCAUGUACUGAGACUGAGAGGGAGUAUAGUGUCUUAUUGAAUCCAUGUACAUUUAAUUAUUUAGGAUAUGUCCAACAAAGUAAAAUUAGUGCUGUGUUGCAUUGGCUGAAGCAUAAUGAUGUGCCUCAAUCUUGCAAUGUACCUCUAUCUUGCAAUGGACCAAGGUACUACUGAUGUCAUCACAUAAUGGGUCUUACAUAAUCUCCUGUGCUAUGUUUCUUUCUGAGGCUUUAGGACAAAGGCGUCAAGACGACAACAAGACUAAAAACUUAUUUAUUAAAUUAUUUUUUUGUGUAAUUAUUAUUGUUCGAAUGAAAUAUUUGACACUGUGCA
Molecule: long non-coding RNA, 1064 nt
Filed under: Amphimedon queenslandica
Lineage: Eukaryota; Metazoa; Porifera; Demospongiae; Haplosclerida; Niphatidae
Description: uncharacterized LOC109585039, transcript variant X3
Source: RNAcentral